This is a long non-coding RNA of Carassius carassius (crucian carp), 468 nucleotides long. RefSeq lists it as uncharacterized. The transcript is spliced from 3 exons. NCBI's taxonomy places the organism in Eukaryota, Metazoa, Chordata, Actinopteri, Cypriniformes, Cyprinidae. The record is from RefSeq and is a predicted model, not a curated record.
AGUGUCUGGCAAAGUGUCUGCCCAUAAAUUGGUGAAAGUGUUUGCAGCUCUUUGUGUACUUUGUCUGCUGGGAGGUGUCGUCAUUGGUGUUUGGUUUAUAGUGAAAAUCCUGUUUAGGCCAAACUCAGCACAGAGCCCUGCAAGCCUAGGAGACACUAAAGAUACGUCCUUCUGCAAUGUAACUGAGGACAUCUCUGUGGCAGACCCCAGAAAAGUAUGCUGUUUUAGGGGUGAUUUUGACUGAAUGGGACUCAGUGUUUUACAGGAUCAGUGCUGAGAACUCUCUUCUGGAGAUCCAGCUGGAGAAGCUCCAGACAUGGCUGCCCGUAUGUUAUGAGCGGUGGAACUCUUCACUGGGAACGCUUGUAUGUCGACAGCUGGGCUAUCUGAGGUGAGCAUGCUGACAUCUGAAUCACACACACACACACUUGCAGCUCUCAGCACCUUUCACUUGACUACCAGCUGUGG